CGGGAGAUCCGUUGCGGACGGGUACCUUGCCAACCCGGUCAGGUCCGGAAGGAAGCAGCCGCAGUAAGUUUCGCUCGGGUUGUGGCGGGUCUCUCAAUUUU
RNAcentral lists this signal recognition particle RNA (101 nucleotides) under Acetobacter musti. RNAcentral describes it as "signal recognition particle sRNA small type". It matches the Rfam family "Bacterial small signal recognition particle RNA". Rfam says of the family: The signal recognition particle (SRP) is a universally conserved ribonucleoprotein involved in the co-translational targeting of proteins to membranes. Archaeal SRP consists of a 7S RNA and homologues of the eukaryotic SRP19 and SRP54 proteins. The record is from RNAcentral. Lineage: Bacteria; Pseudomonadati; Pseudomonadota; Alphaproteobacteria; Acetobacterales; Acetobacteraceae.